RNAcentral lists this Y RNA (96 nucleotides) under Colobus angolensis palliatus. RNAcentral describes it as "Y RNA (ENSCANG00000011882.1)". It matches the Rfam family "Y RNA". From Rfam's summary of the family: Y RNAs are components of the Ro ribonucleoprotein particle (Ro RNP), in association with Ro60 and La proteins. The Y RNAs and Ro60 and La proteins are well conserved, but the function of the Ro RNP is not known. Lineage: Eukaryota; Metazoa; Chordata; Mammalia; Primates; Cercopithecidae. The record is from Rfam by way of RNAcentral.
AGCUGGUACAAUAUAGUGGAUUAUCAGAACUUUACCAACAUUAGUGUCACGAAAGUUGGUAUACCAUCUCCCACUGCUAAAUGUGACUGGCUUAUU